This 394-nucleotide ribosomal RNA is filed under the name uncultured bacterium. RNAcentral's name for it is "bacterial SSU rRNA". It matches the Rfam family "Bacterial small subunit ribosomal RNA", at positions 971 to 1425 of the family's 1533-position model. The record is from RNAcentral.
UUACCGGCUUGACAUGAAAGAGAUUCCUUCGGGCACAGGUGGUGCAUGGCUGUCGUCAGCUCGUGUCGUGCGAUGUUGGGUUAAGUCCCGCAACGAGCGCAACCCCGUGUGUGUUGCCAGCAUAUGGGACUCACACAGACUGCCCGUGGAAACGGGAGGAAGGUGGGGAUUACGUCAAGUCAUCAUGCCCCUUACGCCGGGCUACACACAUGCUACAAUGGGGUACAUGAGGCACCGCGAGGGAAGCAAUCUAAAACCGCCUCAGUUCGGAUUGUAGUCUGCAACUCGACUACAUGAAGCUGGAAUUGCUAGUAAACGCAAUCAGAAUGUGCGUUGAAUACGUUCCCGGGCCUUGUACACACCGCCCGUCACACCAUGAGAGUUGGAAACCGAA